UCCCUAGUUGGUAAAGAAUCUGCCUGCAAUGCAGGAGACCCAGGUUCAAUCCCUGGUUAGGGAA
This 64-nucleotide transfer RNA is filed under the name Odocoileus virginianus texanus. It matches the Rfam family "tRNA". Rfam says of the family: Transfer RNA (tRNA) molecules are approximately 80 nucleotides in length. Their secondary structure includes four short double-helical elements and three loops (D, anti-codon, and T loops). RNAcentral also lists the same sequence under 5 other names. Lineage: Eukaryota; Metazoa; Chordata; Mammalia; Artiodactyla; Cervidae. The record is from Rfam by way of RNAcentral.